This 73-nucleotide transfer RNA is filed under the name Candidatus Nealsoniibacteriota bacterium. RNAcentral describes it as "tRNA-His". It matches the Rfam family "tRNA". Rfam says of the family: Transfer RNA (tRNA) molecules are approximately 80 nucleotides in length. Their secondary structure includes four short double-helical elements and three loops (D, anti-codon, and T loops). Further hydrogen bonds mediate the characteristic L-shaped molecular structure. tRNAs have two regions of fundamental functional importance: the anti-codon, which is responsible for specific mRNA codon recognition, and the 3' end, to which the tRNAs corresponding amino acid is attached (by aminoacyl-tRNA synthetases). tRNAs cope with the degeneracy of the genetic code in two manners: having more than one tRNA (with a specific anti-codon) for a particular amino acid; and 'wobble' base-pairing, i.e. permitting non-standard base-pairing at the 3rd anti-codon position. Lineage: Bacteria; Candidatus Nealsoniibacteriota. The record is from RNAcentral.
GUGGCUAUGGUGUAACGGCAGCACAGCAAUCUGUGGCAUUGCUAGAGGCGGUUCAAAUCCGCUUAGCCACCCA